UUUCAAUUUUUUCUUCCUGUUCCUUUUCCUCUCCCUUUCCCUUCUUAAAGCCACCAAAUAAUUUCUAUCUAUUCUUCCCAAGUACUAGUGUGUGUAACAGUGGAGGGUCUCUGCCAUCAUAAAUGCAAUGCAGGCUUCAGGUCCAAAUGAUUGUUUUGUGUGCCUGUGACUUCCCCAUGGUGGAUCACUGUGCAUGUAGCCAUUACAUACUUGCCUGUUUCUGUAAGCAGAGGAAAAUAAAUGUGCAGAGAAUGACAAAAAAGUUAACCAAAAUGUCAGUAAGCUGAAUUUAAUGAUGUAUUUAAGUUCUUGGGCAACGAGAUGGUAUAAAAGACACUUGAUUUCCACAGCAUGACCUCUGAAAGGACUUGAUUACCUUAUGAAUGUGUGUUCCUUCUUUCUAAUGCAUCUAUUACAUAUUUGUGCAAAUAUUUAUAUAUAUAUUUCACUUGUAUGAAACCUAGGAAGAACAGUAAUUGGUACUCAUAGCAUUUAGUUGAGCACUAACUAUUUUUGUGUUACAAUUCCAACACUGAAUCAGACAAAUGCUGAUUCAGUGCUCCAGGUUCAAAGCUCUGUGACAAGGUCAGAAUGUUGGACUUGAUGAUUACCAAUGUGCUGUUCAGCAUUUCAGGUAAAUUUUAUUGUUCAGAUGAGCAGCCAGGCCUUGGCUGGGUAGGUCUAGCUGACUGUCAGCCAGUUUUGUUUACUUCAAGAUACGCAGAGAACAAAUCUUUUACAGACAGAAUCAGUGAAAACACUGAAUUCAUGGUGGCCUUAUACUAUACAAAUAAUGGUGCUGACAUUUGAAACCAAAUAAUUUAACUCUGUGUAACAGCUGUAGAGGUUUAGUUUUUGAGUGAAGCCACAAGACAGCUACAAGGGAGCUUUGCAGGAUAAUUCAAGCAGUCCUUCAAACACCAUGUCUAGCUCUGUCUUCUACACCAACUUCCUCUGUGAAAAAGUUAGUUUUGUCUCACCAAUACUGUUCAAGGAGCAACUAAUGCUGUUAGAAGUAGAAAAUUAGUAUGAAAUAUUAAUUCUUGUUCUUUGAAGGGGUUGUAAGAGAGACAAAAUAAGUUUAUUAUCUAGUCUUUCUUAAUUUUGUCAACUGCCACAAAGCUCUUUCACUUAAUGUGGCAGAACCUGGAAAAUUCUCCUUGUCUAUUCCAGGUUUACUGUGGCUGAGAACCUCCCCUCACAAACGCAUGUGCAUCAGAAGUCCAGUUACGUGUAGCGUGUUUCUGGUCAAGUGACACCAGCCAGAAGCAGAAUUGAAAAUAUAAAAUGUUUUCUAACAGCCUGUAAUGCAAAUAUAUAUUUUUCCUGUUUGGCUUGGAUUUAGUGUUGUAAAGUCCAAAGACAUUUAAGUAUGCUUCUACUGGUUGCAAUAGAAUUAGCAAUUGCUUGCUGCCAGUAUUGCAGUUGAAGUUCCUUAUAAAUAUUCAUUUAAAUUACCUAGCUUGCUAGUUCAGUAGUUAUCUGUAUACAGCAAGUAGUAUUUCACGUGUGCAGUGGUUGUUUAGUCCCACCUAGUAUUUACGCCUGCAAGAGGCUUAUUGCCCAUGAUGCUGAAUCUGCCAAGAGCUCUUCAGAUACAUCAUUUGUCCUGCUUAAAAUUCAGUAUAAGAUCAAAUAAUAAAGGUCUGUUUUAGCAAACAUCUGCCCAUAGAGAAAACAUUAAAUGACUGUGCUGUCCCCCUUAAUAUCCAUAAUGCUGUAUAUUGUGUGAGAUUGUGAAUGGAAAUUCAAUUUACCUGUUGAUGUUUACACCAGCAGAUGUGUUGAGGAUUUCAGUAUUCAUUACAUCAAGUAAGUAAAUAUUGUUAUUCUAUUUUUCCUAAAGCAGCAUCGGCUGAUAUUGAAUGAUAGCAAAAUAAGUUUUAGUAUUUCUGCAGAAAUUAAUAUAUAUUUCCUCCCAGAAGGCCUCCCCUGACAGUAAAAGGCAAGAAAAACGUUUAAAUGUGCACUUAGGUAUAUUUGCAUGUACCUAUGACUUUGAGAAGCCUAUUUCAACAUCAACACAUUUGGUUGGAGCUCAAUGAUCUUGAAGGUCUCUUCCAACUUAGUCAUUCUGUGAACUCUGUGAACACAAAUUAUAUUCUUCCUAUUUUACAUAUAAGCAUUUACUGACUUUCAGUCUGCUGUACCAGAGGAGGUCCACAGAGAACAAUACUACUCAGCAGGUGCCAGUGAGGACACAAUCUGUGAGCUGAUUUUAUCUGCCUCUCGGAUUUCUGAAGAUGCAGUAUCUCAGAAUGCCAGCAGUCAGUCAAGUUCUUCACUUUUUAAACUAUUACUUGCUCUAGAAGUAAACUUGCUCUUUGAAAGGGAAGUAAACCUCUAGAUGGACUCUGUUACUUCCACAAUAUUGUUUGGUAAGUGGAUUUUUUUAUGGAAUUACUGACAGAGUUUGUCUUCUGCAUGCUGCUUCAUGCAGUCUUUUUUUUUUUUUAAACAAAAUGCAAUAAAGGAAAGAACUAUGAGAAAUCAUGAGGAAUAGGGCAUGAGUAUACACUGCCAAUUUAUAUUUUACAGAUAGUAUAAAAAAAUCCUGCAAAUGUGUGUUGUAUCCCUGACCCAAAUAUAUUUGCAAUUGGUAUUUGGAAAAUAAAGGUCCUUACAGACCAGUACCCGUUGGAUCUCUGAGAGCCACCCUCAGUAAAUUGAGAGUUAGCAGAGAUCAUUGUACUCAUUCUGUAUUGUGCCUUCCAGAGGAAUCUCUAAAGGCUUGAAGAGAAGGCUUGGGAAUUGUAAUUUCAUCCUGUGCUGAAAGGAACUGCUUGCUCUCAGGAAUGAAGUCAAUUCUCAAACAGCAUAAAAGUGCAGAGGAAGAACUGAGGAAUGCUUUUAAUUCAGCUGCAGAAAUAUAUCCAGAGUUAACUGACUGCCAAAAGAAGUCUGGGAGCUCAGCCAUAGGAAAAAUGGAAGAGUAUACCCCACCAUCAGGAAAGCAAACUCUUUAGAUGAAGUGUUCUGAAUGGAAGAUGAAAUGGCACAUGCCAUAAGUGUCUUUCUUGUUAGUAGCACUGCAGAAGCUGUUCCAGCCACUGUGCAGAAAUUGGUGGAGACAUGACAGUCAGACAUGGAGGGAAGAAUACCACUUCAGAAUAAAUAAUGGCAUCAGAUGAAACAUGGAACAAAUAGGGAAAGAAAUGGAAGGAACUUGUACU
This is a long non-coding RNA of Passer domesticus (house sparrow), 3173 nucleotides long. RefSeq lists it as uncharacterized. NCBI's taxonomy places the organism in Eukaryota, Metazoa, Chordata, Aves, Passeriformes, Passeridae. The transcript is spliced from 5 exons. The record is from RefSeq and is a predicted model, not a curated record.